AUGGCUGCUUCCGAAUUCCGAUCCGGCCGUCGUGCCGCCGCGCUCGUCGUCGUGAUCUGCGCCGUCCUGUUGCUGUCCUCCGCCGUGGAGCGGGCGGCGGCGCAGGUGCCCUGCAGCAAGUGCGACCACGCGUGCAAGAAGUCGUGCAAGGGCUACGGCCGCGACUCGUCGUGCAGCCUCCCCUGCGGCGACCCAUCCAACAAGGCCGGCUGCGAGAGCUGCCUGGACGCCUACUACCCGAAGUGCCUCAACUACUGUGGCCAGUCCUGCCGUCGGGCGGCGGCGCAGGUGCCCUGCAGCCAGUGCGACCAGGCGUGCAAGGAAUCGUGCAAGGGCUACGGGCGCGACUCGUCGUCGUGCAGCGCCCCCUGCGGCGACCCCUCCAACAAGGACGGAUGCGAGAGCUGCCUGCAGGCGUACUACUCCAAAUGCGUCAACUACUGUGGCCCGUCCUGCCAUGUCACCUGCACCAGCGGCUGAAAAGCCCAGC
Molecule: long non-coding RNA, 490 nt
Filed under: Oryza sativa Indica Group (long-grained rice)
Lineage: Eukaryota; Viridiplantae; Streptophyta; Magnoliopsida; Poales; Poaceae
Description: lncRNA OsZS97_03G030810
Source: RNAcentral